UGCAGUGCGAUAGAAACUCACUAUCUGGCAUCGAUGGUUUCUUGGCUUUGUGCAUGUUAAACCUAGUAUAUCUAAUGAUACAGUU
Molecule: small nucleolar RNA, 85 nt
Organism: Apodemus sylvaticus (European woodmouse)
Lineage: Eukaryota; Metazoa; Chordata; Mammalia; Rodentia; Muridae
Product: small nucleolar RNA SNORA8
Exons: 1
Source: RefSeq, a predicted model, not a curated record